UUCAAAAGUCUUGACAGGUAGUAUGGGUUUAUCUUUCCUUCUUCCUGAAGUCGACUCUGGCAUCCUCUCUCUCUCCCUUUGGUUGGCUUUAUUCUUUCUGUGUGUUUCUUCCUAGGGUUUCCAGGCUAACCAUGGCUUCCUGAGAUUUUACAUUAACCAUGAUCUCGAUCAGACCUACAUGCUCAAAUAUGACAGCGUUCAUGGUUUGUGGAACAAGCAUGAGUUUAAGGUCAAGGACGAGAAGACACUUCUUUUCGAUAUUGGGGGUUUAUCUCGGGUUCAAGAGGUGAUUAUCUGUGGUGUGGUUGGUUGUUGGCCCAAGGAGAUGUGUGUCUCACCUCUUUGGGUCAAGAAGAAUUCCUUCGGCAAAGCCUAAAGCAGGCUCCUACUGUUGGUAACCUCGAAUUCACUUUCUAUGAGAUUUACUGGAUUCUGCAUCGACUGGAGUUCACUGGGUUACUUUGAUGGCUGAACAGUGAGAAGGAUUUCAAGGGUAGGAUUGCUGGAGUCCUGAACAGUUUGACUUCAGCGCCACAUAUAUAUAUAGACACAAUACAUCUCAAAAUCAAGUUUUUCUUAUUGAGGACACAACUAUGUAUCUUAAGAAGUUUGAGUUUGUUAAUGGUUAUUUGAUGAAAAUCUUUCUGGUGUAGGUCGACUUUGCUUUGUGUUGCUUUAAACUCCAUUAUAUACACAAAUUUUUGAAUUCAACAAUUUUGGGAUGCUUAGUGGCCUUUCCUACGCUUAACUCUGGUGGUGUAUUUGUUUUCUAAUUCUUCUCUGUUUUUUGAGUUAAUUUUAUGCUGUUGUGAGUUUUUUUCCUGAUUUGUUUACGUUCCUUUUUUUUUACAUAUAGUUUCUACAUUUGACUUUAAGUUGGCUUUUGAUGAAGGACCUUGGCCAAAAAGACUGCUUAUGUAUGCCAAUCCAUGAUUUCACUACUUUGCUGCAUCAUAAUCACAAUAUCUCUGAUUUGUUGAAUAUUAAUGCUUCUCACAUGAUCUUUGGUUUCCAGGAAAGGUCACGAAUACUGUUAUGGUUUGCUCUAAUCACUUUCAGAUGCAUUGCACUAUUGAAAUGGUUUCCCUCCAUUUUAAAUCACAAUUGUUGGAUGGCGAUUUGGAGAUGGAGAUGGAGAUCGAGAUGGAUUUGGAUUUUUAUUUUGGGUGGAGUGACACGUGUUGGUCGAUUUUGGGUGGCUUGCGAUAGUUCACCGGGCUCUGUCCCUUUUUAUUGGGGUAGCUCUGUCCAUGUUGGUCGUUCAAUUACAUGUAUUUCUGUCAUGUGUUUGCGUCCACUAUUUUGAUCGGAUACAUUGAUUAGUCAGUGGAUAAAUUUUGUUCAUAAAUUGCAUUCAUGUGAUGAUAUCAAAGAUCUUACAAUUUACAAUGCCUGAAGAAUUUUUCUUUUCUUCUUUCAACUACUGAUGUUGGCUGCAUUCUUCAGUUUUGCAUUCUUAAGUACUGCAUCAGGGGCUGUCUGGAGAAGCUGGUGGAAGAGAUGGCAAACGUUGAUCAGCAUUUAAGACUUCUUAUCAGUAUUUGUGAAGGAAAAAAAAAAAGAAUGGGAGGAGACUACCACCACCGUAAUGAACGUGCAGACGGAUGCGUUGUUGUCAAACAGUGGCUUCUCCUAACAAUAUUACUAUGGAUGGACUUUUAAAGUUAUAUAGAAUAUGGCAUUAGUUGUCAAGGUACGUCUAUUGUAAGCCUUAAUUAUAGCUUUUCAUUUAUACGUACUCUUCAUUUUCAGAUAUGCUUAGAAACUUCUUUAAGCUUUGGGCAUUGGUUUAUCAUUUGAUUUGUUAUUGUGGUACUUCAUGAUUUAUUGAUGGAUGUCUCUUCGCUCUAAUCUGGACUAUGUGUUAUAUUGAUUUGGAUCAACUAAUUUUGAUUGCUCAUCAUUUUUGUGAAUUUUUAGUUCUUAGGUUCUCCAAAACAGGGUUGAUUAACCCACCAGCUAAUCUCAAGAAGAAAAAUCUCAAAUUCUGUCUCUGUCAUUAAUGAAAAAAAACGGUGUUGAUUCUCUUAACAGCAGUUGUCAAUUGUCAACGAGAAUGACAACUGUUGUUCUUUUCCCUCUUUUAGUUGUGGAUGAAAUUCUAUUAGAUAUUAUGUUCAUUGCAUCCUUAUGUCGUGUCCUUGCAUUUUUAUGUAGUAAGUUUGAAGUUAUGACCUGUCCUUGCUAAACUUUUCUUUACUGAAGAUGAGAAUCAAGUAACUUUCUAUAACUUUUUAUAUAUAAUAAUAGUGUGAUAUCACAUGGUGGGAACUUCUGUGCUUCACUGGUUCUAUUAAUCUCCACCCUAUGAUGGCUUUCAAAGUCCUAUUCAUAGUGUGAAGAGGAUUGAUCCUCAUUUGUGGACAGUCCAAGUUGACAACCUAUUUUGUUGUAGACCUCAGAUGGCUUAGUGGGUGCAAUACUACCUUGCCAAGCUCCCAAUACAUAAAACACAAUGCAGAGGCCACUCACUCCCAGGAUCCAUGGGAUACGCUUCCUCUGGUUUUCUAACUGAUGAUGCUUUGGAGAUCCACCAGCAAUUGUAGUUUAUUAUAACCUGCCAGUUAAUUAUAUCAAUUGGAAACCAAGGAUUCGGAUAAAAUUUUCAAUUUUUUUGGUCGUAGUAAGGCUUUUGUGUCUUCAUUUUGUAUUUUUCAGUCAUUAGAAGCAUAUUCUACAUGAUAGGUCAGAAACUACCAGUUUGUUUCCGUACCUCAGAAGGGUCGACAUCAUAGAAGAUUGGGAGAACUGUUUGCCUCUGAUCAUUCAUGCAUUCAACAAUCUUCAAGAGCUCAUCCAAGCACCAGGAUGAAGUAGCAUAGUUUCUGGAGAAAACAAUGAGAAAAUCUGGACCCUUGGAUUGCAUUGAGGAGGUCCGUAGAAAUAGGCUUUCCUCUCUAAAGUUUCAAAUCAUCUCUAAAAGUGACAAUGCCUUUCUCAGUCAAAGCUACGUACAGAUGAUAUGUGAAGUUCUUGCGAGUGUCUUCUCUAAAACUAAUGAAAACAUCGUACUUCCAGUGAAAGGCAGAAGAAGAAGAAGAAGAAGAGCUGCAUCUGUGCUCAUGAUCAUGGGCGCCAUUGACAAAGAGUGAAGACUAAAGAGGCUUAAUUGGUCCAAUGAAGGUUGAGAUUAUUGUUGUGUAAGUUUGAUACGAUCUAAUUCAUUACAUAUAAGGUUAUACGGAGAAUAUGCAGAGUAGGACUUAUAGCCAUACGUGGCUCUUUUGUGACUCUUUAAUCCUAUCACUGAACCAAUAGCUGUGAUCCUUAAUUUCUAUAUUGAAAUAAUAGCACCAUUUACUUAUUAGUUA
Molecule: long non-coding RNA, 3311 nt
Organism: Tripterygium wilfordii
Lineage: Eukaryota; Viridiplantae; Streptophyta; Magnoliopsida; Celastrales; Celastraceae
Exons: 5
Source: RefSeq, a predicted model, not a curated record